CCUGCAGAUCAACCCCGCCUCCUCCAUCAACCCGGACCACCUCACCUACUUUCGCUUUAUAGGCAGAUUCAUCGCCAUGGCGCUGUACCAUGGAAAGUUCAUCGACACGGGCUUCACCCUCCCUUUCUACAAGCGGAUGCUCAAUAAGAGACCAACCCUGAAAGACCUGGAGUCCAUUGACCCUGAGUUCUACAACUCCAUUGUCUGGAUCAAAGAGAACAACCUGGAAGAAUGUGGCCUGGAGCUGUACUUCAUCCAGGACAUGGAGAUACUGGGCAAGGUGACGACCCACGAGCUGAAGGAGGGCGGCGAGAGCAUCCGGGUCACGGAGGAGAACAAGGAAGAGUACAUCAUGUGAGUCUCAGGCGCCGGGGGCUCCGCUCCAGGGGUGGCGUGGAGAUCUAGUGGGUUGCAGAGAAAGAUGGGCCCCCACCUGUGGCCCAUCGGUCACUGUGGAUGCCAUUUGCAUUUGCCUUGAUGGUGGCUGCUGGUGGGCGGUCAUGUGAUGGCGCGAGCUGGGGGAACCAGAGCCGAGGUCCUUAGUUACCGACUCCCAGCUGUGCUUUUUCGCCAUGUGGGAGACUUCAAGCCUGCAGCGUGGAAUUUCUUUGAAGUGGCAUCAAGCUGAGACAUCUGCAUCUUUCUCCGGGCCGAAAGGAUCUCUGUGGCCUGUGUGCCUAGACCCACCGUCUCACGUG
RNAcentral lists this small RNA (698 nucleotides) under Pan troglodytes (chimpanzee). Its description in RNAcentral is "retained intron". Lineage: Eukaryota; Metazoa; Chordata; Mammalia; Primates; Hominidae. The record is from RNAcentral.